CGUUCAGGCGGUUUGGCAAGUCGGGCAUGAAAUCUCUCGGCUCAACCGGGAGAGGUUGUCCGAUACUGUUAGACUGGAGGGCAGUAGAGGGUGGUGGAAUUCCGGGUGUAGUGGUGAAAUGCGUAGAGAUCCGGAGGAACACCAGUGGCGAAAGCGGCCACCUGGACUGCACCUGACGCUGAAACGCGAAAGCUAGGGGAGCGAACG
Molecule: ribosomal RNA, 207 nt
Filed under: uncultured bacterium
Lineage: Bacteria
Description: partial 16S ribosomal RNA
Rfam family: Bacterial small subunit ribosomal RNA
Source: RNAcentral